UGGGGAAUAUUGCACAAUGGGCGCAAGCCUGAUGCAGCCAUGCCGCGUGUGUGAAGAAGGCCUUCGGGUUGUAAAGCACUUUCAGCGAGGAGGAAGGUGGUGGACUUAAUACGUUCAUCAAUUGACGUUACUCGCAGAAGAAGCACCGGCUAACUCCGUGCCAGCAGCCGCGGUAAUACGGAGGGUGCAAGCGUUAAUCGGAAUUACUGGGCGUAAAGCGCACGCAGGCGGUUUGUUAAGUCAGAUGUGAAAUCCCCGGGCUCAACCUGGGAACUGCAUUUGAAACUGGCAAGCUAGAGUCUCGUAGAGGGGGGCUAGAAUUCCAGGUGUAGCGGUGAAAUGCGUAGAGAUCUGGAGGAAUACCGGUGGCGAAGGCGGCCCCCUGGACGAAGACUGACGCUCAGGUGCGAAAGCGUGGGGCAGCAAACAGGAUUAGAUACCCUGGUAGUCCAGCGCUGUAAACGAUGUCGAUUUGGAGGUUGUGCCCUUGAGGCGUGGCUUCCGGAGCUAACGCGUUAAAUCGACCGCCUGGGGAGUACGGCCGCAAGGUU
RNAcentral lists this ribosomal RNA (551 nucleotides) under uncultured bacterium. RNAcentral's name for it is "partial 16S ribosomal RNA". It matches the Rfam family "Bacterial small subunit ribosomal RNA", at positions 355 to 895 of the family's 1533-position model. The record is from RNAcentral.